AGGUUGUGUACUUUGGGGACAAAACUAUUCUUGAGGAUCUAAUUGAGUUCUGGCCGUUAUGCGACUGCUUGAUUGCCUUCUACUCCAGUGGAUAUCCUUUGAAGAAUGCAGAAGCAUAUGCUUCAUUAAGAAAGCCUUUCCUUGUGAAUGAAUUGGAACCACAAUACCCUCUUCAUGAUCGGAGGAAAGUAUACGAGGUAUGUAUCAGUUUUUGGUUAUUUUUUCCAUUCAGGUGUAGCCGAAAAAACUUAUGAUUUUGUUUAUUUUUUAAUAAGGAAGAUUCUUGCAGCUCUUUAAAAAAUCUCCUUUGGUUAUUCAGCCUUUACUCUGAUUUAUUUGUUUUAAUUGUUGGGUUCUUUCAGUGUUAUUUGUAAUGGCUGAGGUUUGAUGCCGUAGUUUCCAUUUGCGGCAGUCGUUCUGUUUUCUUAAUGCUGAGAGUUAUACUUCCAUCAUAACAGAAUAUUUAUUUUUAGGUGGUAAGAUCUU
Long non-coding RNA from Solanum verrucosum, 486 nucleotides. RefSeq lists it as uncharacterized. Lineage: Eukaryota; Viridiplantae; Streptophyta; Magnoliopsida; Solanales; Solanaceae. The record is from RefSeq and is a predicted model, not a curated record. The transcript has 3 exons.